Molecule: ribosomal RNA, 252 nt
Filed under: uncultured bacterium
Lineage: Bacteria
Description: partial 16S ribosomal RNA
Rfam family: Bacterial small subunit ribosomal RNA
Source: RNAcentral
UACGUAGGUCCCGAGCGUUGUCCGGAUUUAUUGGGCGUAAAGCGAGCGCAGGUGGUUUAUUAAGUCUGGUGUAAAAGGCAGUGGCUCAACCAUUGUAUGCAUUGGGAACUGGUAGACUUGAGUGCAGGAGAGGAGAGUGGAAUUCCAUGUGUAGCGGUAAAAUGCGUAGAUAUAUGGAGGAACACCGGUGGCGAAAGCGGCUCUCUGGCCUGUAACUGACACUGAGGCACGAAAGCGUGGGGAGCAAACAGG